CCCCAAAGCAGCUAGAUCAUCUCCGUUGUUAUCUGCAAAGGUUUUGUAUACUUAUAAAAGCAAUAAGCAUCUUGAUCUUCCUCAAAAUUCAGCAUGGCAAAAAUGGCUGCUACUAAGGCCACCAAGUUGAUAGUUGUGGCUGUUCUUGUUGCGAUCUUUCUGCUCAUGUCCACUGAGGUGGCCAUUGCUGCACUUGAUGCAACAUUGACAGAUCAUCUUAAGCUUGCAUAAUAUACUUAAUUUACGGUAAUUGCGGGAAGAAGGGUUCUUCAAACUGAGUACAACACCAAUGGGAGGGGAGGAUACAAUAGCUACAAUACCACUGGCCGUGGAGGAUAUAAUUAAUUAGAUUUAGUAGUAACUUGGUCGUAUUAUUAAUAAUUGUACCCUAAUUAAGCUAUUGCAUGUAUGCUUUGUUAA
Juglans regia (Persian walnut) is the source of this 420-nucleotide long non-coding RNA. RefSeq lists it as uncharacterized. The transcript is spliced from 2 exons. Lineage: Eukaryota; Viridiplantae; Streptophyta; Magnoliopsida; Fagales; Juglandaceae. The record is from RefSeq and is a predicted model, not a curated record.